RNAcentral lists this long non-coding RNA (1236 nucleotides) under Marmota monax (woodchuck). The record is from RNAcentral. Lineage: Eukaryota; Metazoa; Chordata; Mammalia; Rodentia; Sciuridae.
GGGGGAGGUUUGGGUGUUUCUGGGGUGGGCACUGGACUCUGGGUCCUCUACGAACCGACCUUAUUAUUAUUAUUAUUAGUUGUAAAUUGACACAGUAUUUUUUCAUGUAUUUAUUUUUUUGUGGUGCUGAGGAUCAAAACCAGUGCCUCACACCUGUGAGGCAAGCGCUCUACCACUGAGCUACAGUCCCAGGCCCCCGACCUUAUUCUUGUCCCCACCCCCAGGACACCAUGAGUGGUUGCUUGGGCCUGAAGUCGACAUUCUUCCCUUCUUGCUACUGCCUCUGGCUGGGCCUGAGGAUUUCUCGGAGGAAGAGAUGAACCGUGAGUGGCUUGGAUUGAUGGUGCCUAAGGGUGGGCCAGGCAGGAAGGAAGUCAACCCCAGGAGAGGGACGAGAAAGUGCCCAGACCCCUUCUGAAACUUUCCAGGAAAGAGUUGCUGAGCACAGAUGAGGCUCACCCAGGUAGAGCCAGGUCUAACUGCCCAGUCAAGGCACCCAGUGCCUCCCACACUCACCCCCAGGGUUGCCUGUUGACCUGCAGUACCUGCCGCCAGAGAAGCAGCGUGAACCUGAUGCUGACAUCCGCAAGAUGCUCAUUGAAGCCAUCAUGCUGGUGAGCAGGGGUGUGCUAUGUUAAUGCCACCGUUCUACACACACAUAGGAGCACACUGACAUAUGAGUAACCUCUUCAAUAUCCCCAGCUGACAGCCACUGCACCUGGGCGGCAGCAGGUGCGGGACCAGGGAACCUACCUGAUCCUUCGAGAGCUGCAUAGCUGGGAACCAGAGCCUGAUGUGCGGUUGGCUUGUGAAAAGCUCAUCCAGGUGGGUGCAAGGUUGGAAAGGCUGAGGAAUGGGAGCCCACAGCUGUCCAGCUGUUCUACUCACCUGCCUCUUCUCCUGGCAGGUGCUAAUUGGAGAUGAGCCAGAAUGUGGCAUGGAAAACCUGCUGGAGGUGCAGGUGCCUGAGGAUGUGGAACGACAGCUGCAGCAGCUGGACCGGGAGCAGCAGCAGCUGGCCCAAGAGUCAAGGGUGGAAGGGACUGCACCUACCUGAGGUCCCUUCAGCAUGGGAGUCCAGAGCCACCUUUGCCAGACCUGCUAGACCAGACCUGCCUACAGACCUUCAAAUCCCCUGUGCCCGCUGAGAAGCAGAGCUAUACUUAGGCUAGAGUGAAUGCUCAGUAAAUGUUGGAGGGUUGAGGACACUUCCCAACCCUAUGUCUCCUGUUGAUA